UACGUAGGGUGCGAGCGUUGCCCGGAUUUAUUGGGCGUAAAGGGCGCGUAGGCGGCCAGCACAAGUCAGUUGUGAAAUCUCCGAGCUUAACUCGGAAAGGUCAACUGAUACUGUGCGGCUAGAGUGCGGAAGGGGCAACUGGAAUUCUUGGUGUAGCGGUGAAAUGCGUAGAUAUCAAGAGGAACACCAGCGGCGAAGGCGGCAUCCUGGACUGGUCCUGACACUCAGGAGCGAAAGCGUGGGGAGCGAUCCGG
RNAcentral lists this ribosomal RNA (254 nucleotides) under uncultured bacterium. Its description in RNAcentral is "partial 16S ribosomal RNA". It matches the Rfam family "Bacterial small subunit ribosomal RNA", at positions 524 to 776 of the family's 1533-position model. The record is from RNAcentral.